AGUCUGGUGCCAGCAGCCGCGGUAAUACCAGCUCCAAUAGCGUAUAUUAAUGUUGCUGCAGUUAAAAAGCUCGUAGUCGAAUGUCUGACUCGUAAACUCGGACUAGUUCCUUUUAGGGCUAUGCUUCGAACCGUUUGCGGGUCAUCUUUCUGGUUAGUGUUUCUCCCCUUGAUUGGGUUGGCUACACGAUCCAGAUCUUUUACUGUGAGCAAAUGGGAGUGUUUAAAGCAGGUCUUUAAUCACGCCUGAACCGUUUAGCAUGGAAUAAUAAAAUAAAACUUUGUUUUAUUUUGUUGGCAUUUAAAACGAAGUAAUGAUUGAAAGGGACAGUUGGGGGUGCUCAUAUUCAGGGGGUAGCGGUGAAAUGCGAUGAUCCUCUGAAGAUGAACUACUGCGAAAGCAUUCACCAAGGAUAUCUUCUUUGAUCAAGAACGAAAGUUGGGGGAUCGAAGACGAUCAGAUACCGUCGUAGUCUCAACCAUAAACGAUGCCAACUAGGGAUUGGCGAUCGUCGUAUGGUGACCCCGUCAGCACCUUUAGAGAAAUCAAAGUCUAUGGGUUCUGGGGGGAGUAUGGUCACAAGGCUGAAACUUAAAGGAAUUGACGGAAGGGCACCACCAGGAGUGGAGCCUGCGGCUUAAUUUGACACAACACGGGGAAACUUACCAGGUCCGGACAUAGUAAGGAUUGACAGACUUAAGCUCUUUCUUGAUUCUAUGGAUAGUGGUGCAUGGCCGUUCUUAGUUGGUGGAGCGAUUUGUCUGGUUAAUUCCGAUAACGAGCGAGACCUCAGCCUACUAAUUAGGUGUGGGAAUUUUCGGAUUCUAGCCCACACACCUUCUUAGAGGGACUAUCGGUGGUUAGCCGAUGGAGGUCUGAGGCAAUAACAGGUCUGUGAUGCCCUUAGAUGUUCUGGGCUGCACGCGUGCUACAAUGAUGCAUUCAACAAGUUGUCACGCCUUAUCCGAAAGGAUUGGGUAAACUUUUGAACUUGCAUCAUGCUGGGGCUUGAUCAUUGUAAUUAUUGAUCACCAACGAGGAAUUCCUUGUAAAUGCAAGUCAUCAGCUUGCAUUGAAUACGUCCCUGCCCUUUGUACACACCGCCCGUCGCUUCUACCGAUGAAUGAUCCGGUGAACACUCAGGACUUGUGAUUUUGAUGACUUCGGUCUAGAAAUCAUCGAGGAAUUUGUGUAAACCUUAUCAUUU
RNAcentral lists this ribosomal RNA (1207 nucleotides) under metagenome. RNAcentral describes it as "SSU rRNA". It matches the Rfam family "Eukaryotic small subunit ribosomal RNA", at positions 558 to 1774 of the family's 1831-position model. The record is from RNAcentral.